RNAcentral lists this transfer RNA (67 nucleotides) under Fusobacterium gonidiaformans. It matches the Rfam family "tRNA", at positions 5 to 66 of the family's 71-position model. Rfam says of the family: Transfer RNA (tRNA) molecules are approximately 80 nucleotides in length. Their secondary structure includes four short double-helical elements and three loops (D, anti-codon, and T loops). Lineage: Bacteria; Fusobacteriati; Fusobacteriota; Fusobacteriia; Fusobacteriales; Fusobacteriaceae. RNAcentral also lists the same sequence under 1 other name. The record is from RNAcentral.
GCAUAGCUCAGUUGGGAGAGCAUCUGCCUUACAAGCAGAGGGUCAUAGGUUCGAGUCCUAUUGCGAC